GUAGUCCCGGCUGUAAACGAUGUCGACUUGGAGGUUGUGCCCUUGAGGCGUGGCUUCCGGAGCUAACGCGUUAAGUCGACCGCCUGGGGAGUACGGCCGCAAGGUUAAAACUCAAAUGAAUUGACGGGGGCCCGCACAAGCGGUGGAGCAUGUGGUUUAAUUCGAUGCAACGCGAAGAACCUUACCUGGUCUUGACAUCCACGGAAGUUUUCAGAGAUGAGAAUGUGCCUUCGGGAACCGUGAGACAGGUGCUGCAUGGCUGUCGUCAGCUCGUGUUGUGAAAUGUUGGGUUAAGUCCCGCAACGAGCGCAACCCUUAUCCUUUGUUGCCAGCGGUCCGGCCGGGAACUCAAAGGAGACUGCCAGUGAUAAACUGGAGGAAGGUGGGGAUGACGUCAAGUCAUCACGGCCCUUACGACCAGGGCUACACACGUGCUACAAUGGCGCAUACAAAGAGAAGCGACCUCGCGAGAGCAAGCGGACCUCAUAAAGUGCGUCGUAGUCCGGAUUGGAGUCUGCAACUCGACUCCAUGAAGUCGGAAUCGCUAGUAAUCGUGGAUCAGAAUGCCACGGUGAAUACGUUCCCGGGCCCUGUACACACCGCCCGUCACACCAUGGGAGUGGGUUGCAAAAGAAGUAGGUAGCUUAACCUUCGGGAGGGCGCUUACCACUUUGUGAUUCAUGACUGGGGUGAAGUCGUAACAAGGUAACCGUAGGGGAACCUGCGGCUGGAUCACCUCC
Molecule: ribosomal RNA, 740 nt
Filed under: uncultured bacterium
Lineage: Bacteria
Description: bacterial SSU rRNA
Rfam family: Bacterial small subunit ribosomal RNA
Source: RNAcentral